Molecule: long non-coding RNA, 690 nt
Filed under: Capra hircus (goat)
Lineage: Eukaryota; Metazoa; Chordata; Mammalia; Artiodactyla; Bovidae
Description: lncRNA (ENSCHIG00010029047.1)
Source: RNAcentral
AAAAAUUCAUCUCUGUAGCAUCUGUUUGCCUCUGGGCACGUGAAACUUUUUCCUCCUCUCUUCCUGUUCAGUCCUCUUCCAGAGGCAGGAGGGGUGAGAAGCGUCACGUUCUGAUUCGGCACCAGCUUGGGUCACGAGUGGAUGGAUCGUUCUCCUUAUAAAUGCAUCAAAUCUGACCAAUCGACACGUGGGGCUGACAAUCACUGAGUGUUUUAAACGAAAAACCACAGCAGUGAGGAGCUCUAAAAGGCCACAGCCUCUGCUUUGAGGUGCUUCUGUGGGACUGAUCAUGCCAGCCUGGCUGCACCUGGCUUUAUGCACCUGCCCAGACCUCUGCACAGGUCAGGGUUUUCUAAAUGGAGACCUCAGCCCUUCCUGACUCACCGAGCUCAUGGACUUCAAAUCCCAUGUCUUCCUUCUGCGAGAACCUCAAACACAAGGCCAGCACCCUGCUUCUCCGGAGCACCCCUGUCAUCCUCAAGGGGGAGCCUUAGAGCUACCAAAAGCCCCCAGAUCUCCCACUCGACAAGCUGCCUUCCAGCCCUAGGAGCCACUUGCCAUGCCCCUUCUCAGGGCAGGCCCCACCCGUGCCCCAGGGUGCUAGGCCCUGCCAGAGGGAGAGAGCAGCAUGGACACCACACUUGGCCAGAGGUAAGCAGAGCCCUAACCUGGAAGCCCAGGGAACAGUGA